UACAGAGGGUGCAAGCGUUAAUCGGAAUUAUUGGGCGUAAAGCGCAUGUAGGUGGCUAUAUAAGUUUGAUGUGAAAGCCCUGGGCUUAACCUGGGAAUUGCGUUGAAUACUGUAUAGCUUGAGUCGGACAGAGGGCGGUGGAAUUUCCGGUGUAGCGGUGAAAUGCGUAGAGAUCGGAAAGAACAUCGGUGGCGAAGGCGGCCGCCUGGGUCCAGACUGACACUGAGGUGCGAAAGCGUGGGGAGCAAACAGG
This 253-nucleotide ribosomal RNA is filed under the name uncultured bacterium. RNAcentral's name for it is "partial 16S ribosomal RNA". It matches the Rfam family "Bacterial small subunit ribosomal RNA", at positions 524 to 776 of the family's 1533-position model. The record is from RNAcentral.